This 263-nucleotide long non-coding RNA is filed under the name Malurus cyaneus samueli. Its description in RNAcentral is "lncRNA (ENSMCSG00000012028.1)". The record is from RNAcentral. Lineage: Eukaryota; Metazoa; Chordata; Aves; Passeriformes; Maluridae.
CCCUGAUAAUCAAGUUAAGCUGCUGAAGGAAAUCUUCAGGCAGUUUGCUGAAGCCUGUGGACAUGCUCUCGAUGUCAACGAACGCCUCAUUAAGGAGGACCAAUUUGAGUAUCAGGGAGAGAUGAAGUCUCAUUACAAGGACAUGCUCAGCGAGCUCUCUGUAGUUAUGAAUGAACAGAUUGCGUACAAGGAGGACUCAGCAAAGCAUCCAGGGAUGGAGCGCACGUAUUCCCGAGUCAUCCAUAGAGCCAGCUCCUCCGUGC